GAGUUUGAUCCUGGCUCAGGACGAACGCUAGCGGCGUGCCUAAGGUAUGCAAGUCGAACGGCCCGCAAGGGUAGUGGCGAACGGUCGAGUAACACGUAGACAACCUGCCUCCGAGUGGGGGAUAACUGUGGGAAACCGCAGCUAAUACCGCAUGUGGUGGAGAGCGGCAUCGCUCUUCUACUAAAGGAGCAAUUUGCUCGGAGAUGGGUCUGCGGCCUAUCAGGUAGUUGGUGGGGUAACGGCCUACCAAGCCGACGACGGGUAGCUGGUCUGAGAGGAUGAUCAGCCGGACGGGGACUGAGACACGGCCCCGACUCCUCCGGGAGGCAGCAAUGAGGAAUCUUGCACAAUGGGGGCAACCCUGAUGCAGCGACGCCGCGUGGGUGAGGAAGUCCUUCGGGAUGUAAAGCCCUUUUGAUCGGGACGAACUCCAUGACGGUACCGAUCGAAUAAGCCCCGGCUAACUACGUGCCAGCAGCCGCGGUAAUACGUAGGGGGCGAGCGUUGUCCGGAUUUACUGGGCGUAAAGAGCGCGUAGGCGGAAGCUUAAGUGUGGCCUGAAAGCCCCCGGCUUAACCGGGGAAGGUGGCUGCAAACUGGGCUUCUUGAGGGGGAUAGGGGAAAGUGGAAUUCCGGGUGUAGCGGUGAAACGCGUAGAGAUCCGGAGGAACACCAGUGGCGAAGGCGGCUUUCUGGGUCCGCCCUGACGCUGAGGCGCGAAGCGUGGGGAGCGAACGGGAUUAGAUACCCCGGGUAGUCCACGCCGUAAACGAUGGUCACCAGGUGUGUGCGGUAUCGACCCCGCACGUGCGUCGCUAACGCUUUAAGUGACCCGCCUGGGGGA
This 844-nucleotide ribosomal RNA is filed under the name uncultured bacterium. Its description in RNAcentral is "bacterial SSU rRNA". It matches the Rfam family "Bacterial small subunit ribosomal RNA", at positions 9 to 873 of the family's 1533-position model. The record is from RNAcentral.